GCGAAGGGAGCCCCAAAUUUUGAACUGUCCCCCCAUUCGGACGACCCCCGAAACCUAGACACGCCCCCAAAGGGCCCUCACCCUCGAGCCCCGCCCCCCUGCGGCGGGAGAGGGAGGCAGCACAUACGCAUGCGCGCGCAAGAGACGAGGGCCCGCCCCCUCACUCCUUCUCUCCGGACGUCGCGUGGUGGCGCGCGACUACUUUCUCUCCGCCCCUUUGUUGACAGACGCGCGCGUGACGCCCCCAGCCAAUGAGCGGCUGCCGUUCGGGGCCAUGCCCAUAUAAGGAAUGGCUUGGCGAAGGGGCCUAACUUCGAAAGAGGGAGGAGUAGGCGAGAGGUGAAGGGGGUGUGGAAACAGCGGAGUGUAAGAGAGCGUGGAACAAUUCCCAACUUCUUGCUAAAACGGAGGAUCAAGGCCAGGACAGAGGCCACGGUAUUCAGGGAUAGGGCUCACCUAGAUCCUUACAAAGCCAGGCUGAUUGAAGAGAUAUCCAAAGUGACUCCACUGCAGCCAUCUGUCCAAGUGUCACCUGUCUGUCCUUCCACCACCCUGCCCCAGCCGUGCCUGCUUCCACCAAUCCUGCACAUCACAGCCAGAAGGAUCUUCAAGCACAAACCUGACCCUGUCACUACCCUGUACAAAACCUACCAUGAAUGACUCCCUGGUGCCCUUGGGAAAAAGCCCCGGUACCCUACAAGUCCAACCUCACCCCUCCUCACUCCUCCACACCCCCAGUGGACCCCGGAGGGCACCAGAUCUGGCAUAGAGAGUGGUUUGAGUACUUGCAACCCUGUCUGACCCUCAGUAGAAACUAUUAUCCUCUCCAGUGUAAGAAUAAAGAAACAGAAGCCAGA
Molecule: long non-coding RNA, 857 nt
Organism: Felis catus (domestic cat)
Lineage: Eukaryota; Metazoa; Chordata; Mammalia; Carnivora; Felidae
Exons: 2
Source: RefSeq, a predicted model, not a curated record